GAAGCUUACCAGAGUGCCAUCGAGUUCCUUCCCCUAAGGAUCAGACUUCCAGACUCAAAAUACAGCCUCUGCUUUUGAAUAGAUUUCCUUACAAGUGGCAAUCUCUAAUAGGGUCAUGUCGAGAGGCAACCCGACUGCAUACUACCUACUGCACGUUAACGUGAUGAAGGUCUCUCCUGAGCACACGGCUUCAUAAACCAGCUGCACAAGCAACUGCAUCUGGGGAUCUGCUUCAAGAGAAACUUAACUAAAGCAAGAAUGGGCUCUAACUUCAGGAUACCUAGGAUUCUAACCUCGUUCCAUUACUUACCAACGAUAUGACCUGGGAAAAAUUAUAUACCUGCGGCACAUCACUGGGGCAAUUUACUGUAGGCAUGCGGCUUUAACAACAACAAAAUGUAAAA
This 404-nucleotide long non-coding RNA is filed under the name Homo sapiens (human). RNAcentral's name for it is "HSALNT0150690". Lineage: Eukaryota; Metazoa; Chordata; Mammalia; Primates; Hominidae. The record is from RNAcentral.